AGUCGAGGGGCAUCAGGAAGAAAGCUUGCUUUCUUUGCUGGCGACCGGCGCACGGGUGAGUAACACGUAUCCAACCUGCCCUUUACUCGGGGAUAGCCUUUCGAAAGAAAGAUUAAUACCCGAUGGGAUAAUUAUUCCGCAUGGUUUGAUUAUUAAAGGAUUCCGGUAAAGGAUGGGGAUGCGUUCCAUUAGGUUGUUGGUGAGGUAACGGCUCACCAAGCCUUCGAUGGAUAGGGGUUCUGAGAGGAAGGUCCCCCACAUUGGAACUGAGACACGGUCCAAACUCCUACGGGAGGCAGCAGUGAGGAAUAUUGGUCAAUGGGCGCUAGCCUGAACCAGCCAAGUAGCGUGAAGGAUGAAGGCUCUAUGGGUCGUAAACUUCUUUUAUAUAAGAAUAAAGUGCAGUAUGUAUACUGUUUUGUAUGUAUUAUAUGAAUAAGGAUCGGCUAACUCCGUGCCAGCAGCCGCGGUAAUACGGAGGAUCCGAGCGUUAUCCGGAUUUAUUGGGUUUAAAGGGAGCGUAGGUGGACUGGUAAGUCAGUUGUGAAAGUUUGCGGCUCAACCGUAAAAUUGCAGUUGAUACUGUCAGUCUUGAGUACAGUAGAGGUGGGCGGAAUUCGUGGUGUAGCGGUGAAAUGCUUAGAUAUCACGAAGAACUCCGAUUGCGAAGGCAGCUCACUGGACUGCAACUGACACUGAUGCUC
This 704-nucleotide ribosomal RNA is filed under the name uncultured bacterium. RNAcentral describes it as "bacterial SSU rRNA". It matches the Rfam family "Bacterial small subunit ribosomal RNA", at positions 60 to 754 of the family's 1533-position model. The record is from RNAcentral.